Long non-coding RNA from Oxyura jamaicensis (ruddy duck), 310 nucleotides. RefSeq lists it as uncharacterized. NCBI's taxonomy places the organism in Eukaryota, Metazoa, Chordata, Aves, Anseriformes, Anatidae. The transcript is spliced from 2 exons. The record is from RefSeq and is a predicted model, not a curated record.
UUGUUUGUUUUUCUUCCAAAUUUCAGCAGAAGAAAGAGCUGAGGCCACAGAGUUGUCAAGUCUUUAAAUCUCAGCUUCACCCUUGUGUUUCAAUUCAUGCUAAAGCCUCAACACCUUUGGCCAAAGUGGAGACUGCAUGUGGAGGCAGUGGGACCUUUUGGGCAUGGAAACAACAGAGGGACUUCCCGGGGAUCUCUGAGUGGGAGCUGUGGUUUGUGUCCAAUUGCUUCAAGAAUUCACUCUGGAUUUCAGUUGUUUCCUUUUCCUUGACUGAAUGCUUUGAACACACUCUCAAAUGAGGUACAGUAAU